CAUGUUCAUAAUCAGUUUCCCCAUGAUGAUACCAAAUUUUGUAACUUCGUGUAAACCCACUCAAAUAUAGAUGAGUCCAAACAUCCCACUCUUUAAUAACCUUUCUAUUUUUACAAUUAGAGCAAGGACAUCUUAACGUACCUGUUUUUGCUUCCGGUUGUCGGUGAACUAACCCCAUGAAUUCUGUUAUACCUCGUUGGUAUUCUUCCGUAAGCAAUCUCGUGUUCGGAUCCAAAUGAGGUCGAUCGAUCCAAGAACGAAAAGAAUUUGAAGAAGA
RNAcentral lists this long non-coding RNA (277 nucleotides) under Brassica napus (rape). RNAcentral's name for it is "long non-coding RNA (BNAP_LNC012173)". The record is from RNAcentral. Lineage: Eukaryota; Viridiplantae; Streptophyta; Magnoliopsida; Brassicales; Brassicaceae.